RNAcentral lists this ribosomal RNA (1367 nucleotides) under uncultured bacterium. RNAcentral's name for it is "bacterial SSU rRNA". It matches the Rfam family "Bacterial small subunit ribosomal RNA". The record is from RNAcentral.
GAGUUUGAUCCUGGCUCAGGACGAACGCUGGCGGCGCGCCUAACACAUGCAAGUCGAACGAGAGAGAGGAAGCUUGCUUCCUCAAUCGAGUGGCGAACGGGUGAGUAACGCGUGAGGAACCUGCCUCAAAGAGGGGGACAACAGUUGGAAACGACUGCUAAUACCGCAUAAGCCCACAGGUCGGCAUCGACCAGAGGGAAAAGGAGCAAUCCGCUUUGAGAUGGCCUCGCGUCCGAUUAGCUAGUUGGUGAGGUAAUGGCCCACCAAGGCGACGAUCGGUAGCCGGACUGAGAGGUUGAACGGCCACAUUGGGACUGAGACACGGCCCAGACUCCUACGGGAGGCAGCAGUGGGGAAUAUUGCACAAUGGGGGAAACCCUGAUGCAGCGACGCCGCGUGGAGGAAGAAGGUCUUCGGAUUGUAAACUCCUGUUGUUGAGGAAGAUAAUGACGGUACUCAACAAGGAAGUGACGGCUAACUACGUGCCAGCAGCCGCGGUAAAACGUAGGUCACAAGCGUUGUCCGGAAUUACUGGGUGUAAAGGGAGCGCAGGCGGGAAGACAAGUUGGAAGUGAAAUCUAUGGGCUCAACCCAUAAACUGCUUUCAAAACUGUUUUUCUUGAGUAGUGCAGAGGUAGGCGGAAUUCCCGGUGUAGCGGUGGAAUGCGUAGAUAUCGGGAGGAACACCAGUGGCGAAGGCGGCCUACUGGGCACCAACUGACGCUGAGGCUCGAAAGUGUGGGUAGCAACAGGAUUAGAUACCCUGGUAGUCCACACCGUAAACGAUGAUUACUAGGUGUUGGAGGAUUGACCCCUUCAGUGCCGCAGUUAACACAAUAAGUAAUCCACCUGGGGAGUACGACCGCAAGGUUGAAACUCAAAGGAAUUGACGGGGGCCCGCACAAGCAGUGGAGUAUGUGGUUUAAUUCGACGCAACGCGAAGAACCUUACCAAGUCUUGACAUCCUGCGACGCACAUAGAAAUAUGUGUUUCCUUCGGGACGCAGAGACAGGUGGUGCAUGGUUGUCGUCAGCUCGUGUCGUGAGAUGUUGGGUUAAGUCCCGCAACGAGCGCAACCCUUACUGUCAGUUACUACGCAAGAGGACUCUGGCAGGACUGCCGUUGACAAAACGGAGGAAGGUGGGGAUGACGUCAAAUCAUCAUGCCCUUUAUGACUUGGGCUACACAUGUACUACAAUGGCGUUAAACAAAGAGAAGCAAGACCGCGAGGUGGAGCAAAACUCAGAAACAACCUCCCAGUUCGGACUGCAGGCUGCAACUCGCCUGCACGAAGUCGGAAUUGCUAGUAAUCGUGGAUCAGCAUGCCACGGUGAAUACGUUCCCGGGCCUUGUACACACCGCCCGUC